This 732-nucleotide long non-coding RNA is filed under the name Equus caballus (horse). RNAcentral describes it as "lncRNA (ENSECAG00000052842.1)". Lineage: Eukaryota; Metazoa; Chordata; Mammalia; Perissodactyla; Equidae. The record is from RNAcentral.
CUUGGGAGUAGGCAAAAUGGUAGCAGCUGGCAGCUUCUGCUUCAGAUAAAUAGAUCUCAGCAGUAACAACCUGAAUUUGCCUGUCUCUCCAGACUUCAGAUCUGCUUGUUUGCCCUGCAACCUCAGUUCUUUGAUGGAUCCAAGAAAAGGCCUUGAUUUUUGGCUUAAGAUUUUUCUUAUUGUAAGAAGAGGAGUGAUGACUUCUAAGCUGUUUACACUGAGGGCCUAAAACCAGAGAAAGAUGAAGAGGAGAGAAAGGAAGACGAGGAGCUGCAAGCAGCAGGCGCAGCACAUCCUGUCUCACGAAUAACCUCAGCACCGAAAUGAGUCUAAUAAGUUUUCUCUUAUAGAAUUUGACAAGCUGAUUCUAAAAUGUAUACAGAAAAAGAAACGUCUAAGAACUUCCAUUCCUUUCAUCAUGGCACAAUGAUAAAAACCUUAGACUGGCAGGAAAGCCACGUGAAUUCAGACCAUUAAUGUGCCAGUUACUUCAACGAACUGAUGACUCUCAACUUGCUCAUCUAUGAACUGGAUGAAUUGAAACAGAUGAACUUUAUACCUUUCCUCUCGAAUAUUCUUCAUAGCAUUUUGUAACUCAACCUUAGGUUGCAUGGCAAAAUGUAGCUUUAUUAUGUUUAAACAAUAACAUGAACAAAAAAAUGAGUUGGAUACUAUUAUCCCUUUUGGUCUAUUUUAUUUUUAAUACAAUUUGAUCUGUUUUGACCUAAGGAA